GGCAAUGAGAGAAGUCUCAAGAAGGAUCAGACCAAGUUUCUUUCACAUCUAAGACCAUAGGUUGUCAACAAACCCGUUUGAUCUAGAAAGACUUUUUUUUCUUUGGUUUGCAACCGGGGGAGGGGGGGUCACCCUAUAGAUCAUGGCCAAGAUAUUAUGCCAAGAACAGGCACGGCUAAGCAGAGGCCAGAGGAUGUGUGAGCCCAGGGCAGUCAGCUGCUUGGCAUUAAUGGCACAGAUCCCUGCCUAUAAUUGUGUCUCAGGCCUUCUGAUACCGUCACGGCCUUCCCUAGGAUUGAUGUGAUGAACUAAUCCCAAAUCUAUCUUCAAACCACUCCGAGUCUCUAUAAGCAUGGAAAGAGUGUCCACCCCCUUGUAGCUGAAGUGCUCCAUCUCCCUUCCCUGAGUUUCAGGCCACCAUUUCUGUGCCGUGGCAGCCAUUUUUAUUGUUUUGGUUUCCUGGCCUCUUUGGGGAAGUUAAUAUGAAGUGAUGAUGCCCAUACUGCAGUGUGUCAGGCACAGUGUGUGCUGUCUGAUUUAGUCCUCACUGAAUCCUAUAGGGAGAGACAAACAGAGCUCAAGGGAAAGCUAUCCAAGGUCCCAUAGUUUGUGUGAAAUGGACUUGCACUCGAACCGGGGUCAUAGGACUUGGGUGAACGAACUCUGAGCCUCCGAAUUGAGACCUGCAUACAGAGUGGGCCCACAAAUACGCAGAUGGCAGGAGCCUUUCCAAAAAGCCCAGGGGAUAUGCACAGCCAGGGUUUAGGUCAUAUACAGUCUCAUUUGAUCUGCUUGGUAGCCCAGGAUUCCAUUUUCAGAGGAACCUGGUAUUUCUAGAAUGAUCAGAGGUAGCUCAUAAUAGCCUUGUUUAUUUCCAGUUUUGACCAGUUGAGCUAACCUGAUCAGAGGCAGGGACUGGCAUGCCCUGUCUUCCUCAGUAGUAUAAUCAGUUUGGGGCUUUAGCUGGUACCAGACCAGCAACGUCUCUGGGUUGAUCACAAUGACAAUCUUUAGGCCACACCUCUGUGCCAGCUCCAACAGCCCAUCUGCAGUGCCGCUUCUUGGGGGUGCCAUGCUGCAGAGGACCCUGGAGAGCCAGGGGGUCAUAGUGAGUACCCUGCCCUAGUUGUCUGAUUUAUCAGAAGCACUUCCCCGGAAGUAAUUAGAGUAUGUCUACAGACCCUGGCCUAAGCCAGAUCGGGCCUCUGGGAACUUCAUGGGGCACAUCCCUGUGGGCACCCUGAAAAACAUUUCCCCUUCAGUUUUGGAUCUCUCUCUCUUCUCUUUUUGUCCUUCCGUUUUUUUCCUUCCUUGCCUUUUAGUUCAGGCUGUGCGGCUUCUGCCCAGGCGUCUCAGACCUCUCUGGGUAAUGAGGAAGAAUCUCCUUUUCACGCUGUGUCUCUGCCUACCAGCCUCCCCUCUUCCCGAAGCCCAGCUCCUGUCGAUUCCUCCGGUUGCCGAGACCACCAGGUCCAAGUUCCCUGCUCUGGUGCAGAUCUGGGGUAGCCCCACUCUGGGUCUUACCUGAUAGCUUCACACUGAAGACCAGCCAGAGCCAUGGCUGCAUCUUGGCGCUCUUUGAGACACCUGUUCUCCUCAGGGCUCCGUCAACAGAAAGUGCUGUAUGCCCUGGGCCUUCUUUAUCAGUUUUGAGAUCAAAGCCCCAUCAAGAACUGUGAGGAACAGGAAGACCUGUGGAGGUUGGCAGAGGUGAGUUGAAAGAGUGGCUGUCCAAGGAAACUGGAUCCUUGGUGAUCUCUUCGGGGAGAGGGAGGCUGGGGAAGGACUGUGGGGGGAUACAGCACAGAAGAUUUCGAGUGUGUCAACAAGUGCCAGCAACAGCCAAGCCGGCCCUGGAGCCAUGCACACUGCGAGCUUGAGCCUCAGAAGUGGAUGGGGUGACACUGGUGUUAUUCUUUCCACUCCACACCCGCCAGCUAGUUCUUGGUGACCGGGGCAGGAGCUGAGGCAGGAGUUCAAAGAUUCUGGAGAGGAAGGAGGAAAUGGUUCUGAGCUCUGCCCUCCGAUUGUCCCGCUGGCCUCCACCAUACAGGCCUGUUACCUUUGUGCCCAGGAGAACCUGCCAAGGCCCAGAGGUACACAGGGUAAAUAGCCCUAGGAAAACCACAUGGGAGCUGUUCUUAAAAUCAAGGUAAAAUGCACAGAUGACAAAUGGACCAUGCGAGAGGACACAGUAUGUUUGCUGAGGAAUGAAUGGUAUGCCUGCUCCCCGUCUGCCGCUGGGCCAGAAGCCGGUAACUGUUCUUUCUGUUGAAUGUAUUUCUUCCUCACAAAUGGAACUGUUCAACCUAUGUCCUUGGUAAACAGCCUCUUUCAGUUUUGGAGCAGGGGUUUCAGGCCCAGGAUGACUCUCAACUCCUGAUCUUCCUACUUCUACCUAUCUAGGACUUCUUUACCCUUUUCUGCUUGUGAUCCCUUUCCCCUACCCCCAAAUUUUCCAUGUCCCCAGGUAUAGGUCUAUGGAACACCUAUAUAAAACAAUCAUUUACUGGUAACUAACAAACAAAUCUGUUUUAUUCUACUUUUUAAAAAGACCAUAUUUUUGUGUGUUUGUGGGCCAGAAGAUUGCAUCAAAUAUGCUGGUGCCUGAGUUUUGGAAUGUUAUGAGUCACCUGACACAAGAGUCGGGACCUAACUCUGGUCCUUUGGAAGAGCAGUGAGCACUCUUAACCCUUGAACUGUCUCUCCAGGUCCCAAUAGAAUUAUUUUAAAGCGAUUUUUGCUACAUAUAUAAUGUUACCAUUUAUUAAUGAUUAAAGUAAAAGUUCAUACUAAA
Rattus norvegicus (Norway rat) is the source of this 2797-nucleotide non-coding RNA. The record is from RefSeq and is a predicted model, not a curated record. NCBI's taxonomy places the organism in Eukaryota, Metazoa, Chordata, Mammalia, Rodentia, Muridae.